GCUUUGUGUGUGUGUGAUUGAACUUGAGUGGACUAGGCAGGUACUCAACUACUGAGCUUUAUUCAUCUCUAGCCUUUUUGUUAAUUGUUUUUAUGUUAUUGUAUGUACAUGCAUGCAUGCAUGUUUGAUAUGGAGUGGCAUGGGGCAGUGGUGAGCUUUUGAAGGUCAGAGGACAGAUUUGUGGAUUCUUUUAUCUCCUUCUGCGCUUACAUGGCGUUCCAAGGCUUACUUGGGUCAAUAGGCUUGUUUAGAAAGUGUGUUAGUUAAGUUUUCAGAUGUUCUUGCUAAUUUGCUUAAGCUGUUCUUAGAUUCACUCUGUAACCCAUGCUGACCUUCUCUCUUAGCCUCCCUAGGAGGUUUGAUUUUAUGCCUUUGCCCUUCCUUGCCCUUUUUUGUAAGAGAGGUUAAAGGAUCCAUUAUAUCAUAUUCUUUUUAUUGUAAGAAUUUUUUUGAGACAGAGUCUUAGGUACCCUUCUGUGGUCUCAAAAUAGCUUAAGGCUGGUGUUGAAUUCAUGAUCCUACUUCCACUGUCUUUCAAGUGCUGAGGCAGAUGUGUACUAGAUCGUUCAGUUCUUAUCUUUUCAUCUUAUAGAGAACCCUUGGUUCAAUAAAUGGACAUGAAGUGGCACUUCCUUAAGUAAAGAUAUACUUUCCAUAAUGCUCCCAGGUGACCUGAACUUGUUCCUUUAUUUCACUAUGGUUCCAAAUUAUAAACUGGUUGUUCUGAAGCCUGUAUGAAGUCUCUGGCAUCUAGCCAGAUGCCCUUCACAUUGAUUGUCUAUUGAUGACUGAGGGCACUGUAUGAAGUCUCUGGCAUCUAGCCAGAUGCCCUUCACAUUGAUUGUCUAUUGAUGACUGAGGGCAUUCUUUGGCAUUGGCAUUUACUAUCCUGGUGAUACUAUUAUUUCUACUGGACAAUGCUGUUGGAAUUUUUUUCUGUUUGAAGAAAUACCUGUGAACAGCUGGAACUCAGUUGGUAGAAUGCUUGCCUGGUAUUUGUGAAGCCCUGGGUUGUAUCCCCAGCCCUGAUUUAUUAAUUGUGGUAGUAUAUGCCUGUAAUCCCAGCCCUUGGGAGAAAAAAACAGGAAGAUUAUAAUUCAGUGUUAUCUUUGCUGGUCAUCUUGGACUACAUAAAACUCUGUCUCAAAACAGACAGAUGAUGUUAAAUUUGGCCGUACCUGCAACUGCUUGGAGCAACCUAUUGUUGGGCUAUAUUUGUGGUCUCAAUAAAGUUAUCCUUGAUGAAGUUCAAGUGUGAAUAAUCAGAAUUAGAUGUGUAAUGGUUCCGUUUCCUGUUGCUAUUUUAUUUUUCUUCUAGUUUUUGUGGAAAAUACUGGAUUUUCUCUGACAUAGAUUGUUCAGGUUUUGGAAAAGUGUAUACUUUUUGGCAGGAAGAGGUUCUAAGCAUCAUUAUAAUGUAAUUUUAUUUUGUUUUAUUUAUUUUAUUUUUUGAAGUGUUGGAGAUAGAACCCAGAAUCUCUUCCUGUGUUCUGUAUCUCUGUAUACUGUGUACCCAUGUCCAUCUUUAAAAUAAAAUUGUUUAUUUGGAGGAGACAUGCACAUGACUGGAGUGCUCAGCUAUAAGAGGAUAGCCUGUGGGAGCCAUGGCUGCUCUGUCUGCUAUAUGAGUUCCAGGGGUUGAGCUCAGGGAUUGAGCUUUGGUAGCAAGUGCCUUCACCAACUAACUGAGCCAUCUUGAUAGUCCAUCAAGAUGACUCUAGGUUUUGGUUGUAGUUAUUUUCUUUUCAGGAUGCAGAAUCCUUAUAUAAAAAUUUUUGCUUAAUCUCUAAGAAUACAGAAGGUUAGCUAGUACCUCUAAAAACAACCUGUGAAAUUGUGGUCCUUGUUACUCAAAGUACAAUAAACUUUUGAAUUAAUAUUCAGAAUCUUGGCAUUUGGGAACAAAGAAUAGAGAAUGGUCAAUCAAGAAAAUUUCAUUUAUGCACAAAUGAUGACUUGUUUUUAUUUUCUGGAAAAAAAUGAGAACAGGAACAGGAGCAAACCCUACGGUAAAGUUAAGCAGUGUAGUUUAUGAGACACAAAGAGAAGCCAAGAAAAGCUAAACCCAGGCCUCAGAGGGAUUUCUAACAAGGCCUUCCUCGCCUGUGAAACUUUGGAUCUUAUAACCCAGAAUAACAGGUUUGCAAAGUACUUUGUGAUUGAUCUAUUCAGUUAUCCAUGUAUUCAGCUAACUGAUGAGACCAUGUGUGUUCAGGGUUAAUAUUAUUUGGUUAAUAGAUACUUGCUAACAGUUCCUGUAUACCAAGUAUUCUUUAAGUAUCAGCAGAGAGUAUCUCAUUCUAAGGGGAGAAAGACAAAAAGAGUAUCAAGAGUGCUAGAUGGUGACAAGUUCUAUGGAGAAAAGGGACUCACAUAAAAAGGUGUAGGGUGUGUGUGGUUGGUUGCAGUUUACAAUAGGGUGAUUAGAGGAAAUAGGAUUCGGUAGCAUUUGAGCAGUGUCCUCAGGGAAUUAUAGGAACAAACUGUCAACAUUGGGAGUAGGAGCUUCAUAAGGAAAUGGACAAAUUCAGCAUACCUGAGAACUCUCUCUCCCUAUUCAGUAGGAGAUGAUGUUGGAGAGGUGACAGGGUUGUUAUAUAGACUCUAAGCCUUUUAAAGGCUUUUACUCGUUUAUCUGAUAUGUCAUCAGAUUGGAAUGAUUUUAUAUAUCAAAGAUCUGACAUCAUUGUUGUUAUUUUUGGGUGGUGGUGGAUCCUAAGGCCCCCUACAUAUUAAACAGAUAUUUUAUCAUAGUCCUAAAGAUGUUGUUUAAAAAGAUGAUUUGGCUGCUAGAGGAGAAUAGACCAAAGAGUGAGAUAACACAAAUUAUGCUAGCACACACUUAGGGAUUAUUUUGUGUCUUAGGCUGGUGAAAGUCAAUAGGCCAGAGCCACCAGCUGUCAGAAUAGCACUGUUGUAGAGCACUUGCCCAGCAUGUGAAAAGCCUUGAGUUUAAUUCUCAAUACUAGAGUGAAGAGAAGAAAAGAAGAAAAGG
This 2995-nucleotide long non-coding RNA is filed under the name Mus musculus (house mouse). RNAcentral describes it as "long non-coding RNA chr2:91781954-91784949". The record is from RNAcentral. Lineage: Eukaryota; Metazoa; Chordata; Mammalia; Rodentia; Muridae.